Long non-coding RNA from Osmia lignaria (orchard mason bee), 1279 nucleotides. RefSeq lists it as uncharacterized. NCBI's taxonomy places the organism in Eukaryota, Metazoa, Arthropoda, Insecta, Hymenoptera, Megachilidae. The record is from RefSeq and is a predicted model, not a curated record.
UUUUAACUUAUUAGCACGCAUAAAGUAUUUUACAAGAUGAAAUAUUUUACAAAAUGAAGGUAUUUAAAUGCAAACAGGUAUUAUCAACUAAACGUAGAUAAGAAAGAAGUCUAGAAAUAACAGCGCUGCGGCCAUUAAACAGUAAAAAGCUGAACUAUAUGACACAAGCAGUAUCCACUGUUUGGCGGUCUUUUUUAAAGAAAGUGCGUCUGUCCCAGGAUUUGUUACCGAACACACUAGUGAAGAUCUGUGUUGCAGAAACCUGCUUUGGACGAGUAAUUGUAAGAAUUCAGAGUGUUAAAUGAAAGCAGUCGAGAACUUCUAACCCCAUUGAGGUCUCUCCUAACCUCCAUCCUAGAGUGGCUGCAUAACAACGGGAUUCCUGCUUUACCCUAUCAGGCUUAAUUCUUAAAUCUACAAGAAAAAAACGCAUCGUGGGGCAAUAUAAGGAAAAUAAGACAUCUGGGGACGUCACAUAAUGUUCCGGCACCGGAUAAAUUAAAAAAGAAAAAAAAGAAGAAGAAGAAGAAGGCCAUCGAGGAAUUCGAAGAAUGCGAAGAUUACGAAGAUAACAAUAGAUUCUUUCUGGUCGGCGGCAAAAAAAGAGAAGAAUGAAAACAAAAGGCGGGGAAGAGCAGAAACCCUAGGAACUUUCACACGACCACUGCCACCAACUUAUGAUAAAUGGAUCUUUCGUUAAGGAUCAUUUUCAACGAUUGCUUUCGUAAUGGAGUAUCGGUAUAAUUAAUAACGGAACAACUGUGGAGAACUAUCGAAGAAGCGGUAGGAGCGGGGGUAGGAUCGAAGGAGGUAAAGAAAAAAGAAAUUCUUCCUUUAUGGCGUUUAAUGGGAUUCUUCGCACUUCGGGCCUGGCUCCGACAAAGGGCCAAUUCUGGUUCGGGCCAAAGGGCCUCCUACCAAAUUAGAAAGCUCUGAAUGAUUUAUCGGCCAGGGAUAUUAAAUUAGAAGGAAUUUCGUGGCUCGAAACCAGCAUCGGCCCGGGUACUUGUUCGUUUAAUACCAAUAAUUCCCUCGCACUACCAACAAACAUUGAAAACAUCCUUUGAUACCUUAUUUACCCUUCGCUAAAAAACAAGAUUUAAUUGACGAGUCGUCACACGAAUUGGCGUAAUUAGGCAGAUAAUUGCUGUUCUAAAAUUCUGAAGUUGAAACAUUUUUAAAGGCACCCUAGAAAAGUAUCUUAAUUACGCUAGUGAUAUAAGGAGAUAAAGAUUUAUUUUUAGAGGAUAAAAAAAUAGGAACACUAUGGUUUUCAGAU